This 1117-nucleotide long non-coding RNA is filed under the name Neogobius melanostomus (round goby). RNAcentral describes it as "lncRNA (ENSNMLG00000003807.1)". The record is from RNAcentral. Lineage: Eukaryota; Metazoa; Chordata; Actinopteri; Gobiiformes; Gobiidae.
GUCUCUUUUAUUAUUUUUUAUGGCAUCUUAAAACAUAUACUUCCAUUUAGAACUAGGUUUACAGUGCAGAGCUUUUUUUCCCGCUGCCUUUAAACGCCUCACAGCUCCCGGUGACCCUGGUUAAUCAAUGUGACCUGUGUUCCAGGCUCAGUGCUGCCUUCACUGACCUCUCUGUGUGACCUGUGUUCCAGGCUCAGUGCUGCCUUCACUGACCUCUCUGGUGACCUGUGUUCCAGCUCCGUGCUGCCUUCACUGACCUCUCUGUGUGACCUGUGUUCCAGGCUCAGUGCUGCCUUCACUGACCUCUCUGUGUGACCUGUGUUCCAGGCUCAGUGCUGCCUUCAUGACCUCUCUGUGUGACCUGUGUUCCAGGCUCCGUGCUGCCUUCACUGACCUCUCUGUGUGACCUGUGUUCCAGGCUCAGUGCUGCCUUCACUGACCUCUCUGUGUGACCUGUGUUCCAGGCUCCGUGCUGCUUCACUGACUCCUCUCUGUGUGUGUAAUUCCAGGCUCUGCGGCGCUCUGUGGUGGUGGAGAUGGUCGGUAAUGUCAAAGCUCUGCUCAGUGAGACGGAGCUGCUGCUGUCGGGAAACAUGUCUCUGCAGUUGGAGGCGUCUCAUCAGGACCCAGCUCUCCUCGGCGAUGGGCUCGCUCUCCGCUCAGGUGCGGAGGCUGUCGGACGUGUCCUGGCUCUGCCCGUCAUCGACCCGUCAGACUCAGAGGUAACCACGGUAACGUUUGGAUAUUGUUGUUGUGGUGGGACUUGCCUGACGCUGUCCUGUGCUGUCCUCCAGGGGCGCUGUCGGACUUCUCCAAACGCGGCCGCAGCGCCAAGUUCCGCCUCGUGCCCAAGUUCAAGAAGGACAAGAACAACAAGAACCGAGAGACGAGCGCCAGCCUCUCCCAGCCAGUGCACCUGUGGGGGACGGAGGAGGUGGGGGCGUGGCUGGAGGCGCUGUGUCUGUCGGAGUAUAAGGACAUCUUCAGCGGCCACGACGUCAGGGGGGCGGAGCUACUGUCGCUGGAGCGCCGCGACCUCAGGUAAUUAUGACCUCAUUAUGACCUCGAGGUAUUUCCAUUUUUCAUUUACAGAUUUGACGCCGUUUAUGACGAUCAC